This 826-nucleotide ribosomal RNA is filed under the name uncultured bacterium. RNAcentral describes it as "bacterial SSU rRNA". It matches the Rfam family "Bacterial small subunit ribosomal RNA", at positions 56 to 932 of the family's 1533-position model. The record is from RNAcentral.
UGCAGUCGACGAACCUUCGGGUUAGUGGCGGACGGGUGAGUAACGCGUGAGAAUCUGCCCUCAGGAGGGGGAUAACAGUUGGAAACGACUGCUAAUACCCCAUAUGCCGAGAGGUGAAACGAAUUUUGCCUGGGGAUGAGCUCGCGUCUGAUUAGCUUGUUGGUGGGGUAAAAGCCUACCAAGGCUUCGAUCAGUAGCUGGUCUGAGAGGACGAUCAGCCACACUGGGACUGAGAUACGGCCCAGACUCCUACGGGAGGCAGCAGUGGGGAAUUUUCCGCAAUGGGCGCAAGCCUGACGGAGCAACGCCGCGUGAGGGAUGAAGGCCUUUGGGCUGUAAACCUCUUUUCUCAAGGAAGAAGAUCUGACGGUACUUGAGGAAUAAGCCACGGCUAAUUCCGUGCCAGCAGCCGCGGUAAUACGGGAGUGGCAAGCGUUAUCCGGAAUUAUUGGGCGUAAAGCGUCCGCAGGCGGCCGUUUAAGUCUGUUGUUAAAUCGUGGAGCUCAACUCCAUCACGGCAAUGGAAACUGUUCGGCUUGAGUAUGGUAGGGGCAGAGGGAAUUUCCGGUGUAGCGGUGAAAUGCGUAGAUAUCGGGAAGAACACCAGUGGCAAAAGCGCUCUGCUGGGCCAUUACUGACGCUCAUGGACGAAAGCCAGGGGAGCGAAAGGGAUUAGAUACCCCUGUAGUCCUGGCCGUAAACGAUGAACACUAGAUGUUGGGGGAAUCGACCCCUCCGGUGUCGUAGCUAACGCGUUAAGUGUUCCGCCUGGGGAGUACGCACGCAGUGUGAAACUCAAGGAAUUGACGGGGGCCCGCACAAGCGG